GACGAACCGUGCGAACGUUAUUCGGAAUCACUGGGCUUAAAGCGCGUGUAGGCGGGUCGGCGCGUCGGACGCUGAAAUCCCCCGGCUCAACCGGGGAAGGGGCGCCGAGACGGCCGGCCUGGAGGGACGUAGGGGGGGCUGGAACUUCCGGUGGAGCGGUGAAAUGCGUUGAGAUCGGAAGGAACGCCCGUGGCGAAAGCGAGCCCCUGGACGUCUACUGACGCUGAGACGCGAAAGCCAGGGGAGCGAACGGG
RNAcentral lists this ribosomal RNA (254 nucleotides) under uncultured bacterium. RNAcentral's name for it is "partial 16S ribosomal RNA". It matches the Rfam family "Bacterial small subunit ribosomal RNA", at positions 524 to 776 of the family's 1533-position model. The record is from RNAcentral.